This 498-nucleotide ribosomal RNA is filed under the name uncultured Chryseobacterium sp. RNAcentral describes it as "partial 16S ribosomal RNA". Lineage: Bacteria; Pseudomonadati; Bacteroidota; Flavobacteriia; Flavobacteriales; Weeksellaceae. The record is from RNAcentral.
CACGGAGUUAGCCGGUGCUUAUUCGUACAGUACCUUCAGCUAUUUACACGUAAAUAGGUUUAUCCCUGUACAAAAGAAGUUUACAACCCAUAGGGCCGUCGUCCUUCACGCGGGAUGGCUGGAUCAGGCGCUAACCCAUUGUCCAAUAUUCCUCACUGCUGCCUCCCGUAGGAGUCUGGUCCGUGUCUCAGUACCAGUGUGGGGGAUCACCCUCUCAGGCCCCCUAAAGAUCAUCGACUUGGUGAGCCGUUACCUCACCAACUAUCUAAUCUUGCGCGUGCCCAUCUCUAUCCACCGGAGUUUUCAAUAUCAAAUGAUGCCAUUUAAUAUAUUAUGGGGUAUUAAUCUUCCUUUCGAAAGGCUAUCCCCCUGAUAAAGGCAGGUUGCACACGUGUUCCGCACCCGUACGCCGCUCUCAAGAUCCCGAAAGAUCUCUACCGCUCAGCUUGCAUGUGUUAGGCCUCCCGCUAGCGUUCAUCCUGAGCCAGGAUCAAACUC